UCUCUUUCUCUACCGAAUCAAAUCGUAAGUGUCUCUUUGCCUGCAUUUCUUUACUCACAUACCAUUGUUUAUUGUAGUUUCUGUUUAGAUUUGUCAUCUAAAAAUGUGACUUUUUUCACAUUCUUAGAAGCUUUCCUGUGCUGUGAUGUCUUUUAAUCUCUUUUUUUUCCCGACCCAUGUUGUAAAAAGUAGUUUUUCUUACAAUCUCAUUGUUGAUAUUAGCAAGUGUCCUUACCCUUUCACGUUUUAGGGUUCUUGUUUGUUGUAUUUAUGGUAAAAUUUAUGCUACUGAUGAUUAGUUUUAACAGGGGUGUCAAUGGAAGUAGGAAUUUGGAGUGUAAAAAUGUGAUUUUUUUGACAGUUGCAGGUUUUGCUCUGAAGUAAUGGAUUUUAAUCUCCUUUUUUCCGACCCAUUAUAGAGAAAGUAGUUUUUAUACUUUCUUAUUGUUGAGAUUACUGAGGGUUCUUAUCGUUGUAUGUUUUAGGGUUCUUAGUAGUUGUAUUUAUGGUAAAUCUAUGUGAGUGAUGAUUAGCUUUAAUGGUGGUGUAAUUGGAAGUAGGAAUUUUGAAAGUAAAAGAGGCAAUAAAAUGGGUGGUGCUUUAAGCAAGUAGUUUAUGAUGUUCUGUGUAAGUGGGUUGAUGUGUGUGUGAUCUUGUUCUAUUACAGAGAACACACUUCUAUUGUUGCAUUGUAUUCUCAGUACUCUCUCUCACAGAUGGACCUUAUUAUGCUUAUUUGAUAACGGGUGGUGGUGAGAAUUUGUUUCUUGUUCUUUUAUAAAGGAAGCUUAUGGAUGUAGGUCUGUGUAUUGGUAAUUAUUGUGUUGCCUUCUGUUGAGUCCUCACCGUGGCUAUUUUGCUUUCCAGAUUUCUGAAUUUUGCUGGUCUGUCUCUAAUCUAUGGUUAUGAAUACAUGUGAAUUGUGCUGUCAACCUAGUGUCUUUUAGAGGACAUUGACUGUAUCUUGAUAUCAUUUGAUUCUUUUUGUUUGUCUUUUUGAGCUAUUUUUGCGGUUACUUUUUUUUGACUGUGCAUCUGAUUAUUGCAUAUACUGGGUACAGUUAGAUAAGAAAAGAUGGUCAGAGUUAGCGUGCUGAAUGAUGCUCUCAAGAGCAUGUACAAUGCUGAAAAGAGGGGAAAGCGUCAGGUCAUGAUUAGACCUUCAUCAAAAGUCAUCAUCAAGUUCCUCAUUGUUAUGCAGAAGCAUGGUAUGUUAAUUUCUUAACUGUAUGCACUGCAGCAUCACCCUAUCAUUUUCUUACUGUUAUCUAUGUGUAGGUUACAUUGGAGAAUUUGAGUACGUCGAUGAUCAUAGGUCCGGAAAGAUUGUUGUCGAACUGAACGGAAGACUAAACAAGUGUGGUGUCAUUAGUCCUCGCUUUGAUGUUGGAGUCAAGGAGAUUGAAGGAUGGACUGCUAGAUUGCUCCCUUCACGACAGGUAUAGUAAUUAAUAUAUUCACUUUGUUUCCUUGAUCAAUAUAUAGAACUCUAUUUCUGGUUAUCUCCAAAUUGAGCCUUGCUUCUAGCGUCCGAAAUGAUUGUUGGGGUGAACAAGUCAUGGUCAUAUUAGCUUUUGAAAUAGACAUAAAUAUUAUUUUUUGAUUCCUUACUUCUUUGUUGAAACAAGUCGUGGUCAUAUUAUCUUGUGAAAUAGACAUUAAUAAUCCUUGAUUUCUUCUUUGCUGAAUCAUGAAUUGGCUUGCUACUUGGGCGUUUAACCAAUGUUCCAUUGUGAAAUUUGAAAAAAGUAGUUUUGUUUCAAAGGGAAGAAAUGAUAUUUGAAAAUUAUUGCUACUUCUUAAGCAUUAAAAAUCUUGACUACUUGGGGCAAUCAUCUUUAAUGCUUACAAGACCCAUCCAUUUAUAAUUGUCACAUAGCAAGCGCUCUUUGUAGAUGCUAGCAGUUGAGGCUCUCCUGUAAAGGAAGCAUUCCUCUAUUACCAAAAGGGGAAAUUUUGUAUCCUAUGGCUUGGCUAACAGAGUCUCGAUCUGCAGUUAUAUUUGUAUUAGUCCAUGAGAAGCGUGUUUCUUUGAAGAAGUAUCUCAAGAGUCAUUCUGUGGAUUGAAGUGUCAUAUGUAGUUCAUACUAUACUUGAUACUAAGCAAAUGAAAUUGCAGACAUUUUCUGUGAUCAGAGAUGCAGUAAAAGUCGUACUUGUUUGUCAGUUUUAUUGUGUCUAUUUUAUGUGUUGAUCUUUGCAUAUUGGUUUUCAACUUGCAGUUUGGGUACAUUGUGCUGACUACCUCAGCUGGUAUCAUGGACCAUGAAGAGGCUAGGAGAAAGAAUGUUGGUGGAAAAGUUCUUGGUUUCUUUUAUUGAGUCAUGUUGACAAGAAUGAAAACUUUGGUUUUGUUGUUUGUUGGCUCGUUGUAUCAGACCUUUUUCUGUUAUUCUUUUUCUUGUUACCAUCAAAUUUAGUAGGGAUUUUAUUGAAAAUUUUGGGAGGACUAUCUGAUUUUGUUGAAAAAGUUGCGGGUGCUUAUAGCCUGUCGAGACAAGUGACAUCUAAAGUUGCAGAUGUUCGUGCUUGUGUUUUUUUAAUCCCAUAUUGUGUUAAGAGUAUAUCAUUUGUGCAAACAGUGAAUUUGAUUAAUUAUUUUCGUAAAGUUCACAUCAUAAAAUAGACAUAGUGAAGUUCUUAGAUGUACUUGAUUAUAAGGUUUUACUAGUAUUCUUGUCCGCGUGUUACAUGGAUAUUAUAAAAUAUGAUUAUGCUUUUUUAAUUAUUACAAAACUAAAUCUAAUUGUAUUUUUAUAGUAUUAUCGUAACUAAAAUAAUAUAAAAUGUGCUAUAUGUAAAUAUUAAUUUUUGAGAUUUUGUAAAACUAUAGCGGGAGCAUCAAAUGUUAAAAAUGAAACAAACUUCAAUGUAGCAACAUCAGUUUAUGAAUUUCAGUCAACUACAAAACUUUCCAAUUAUGAGGACUUCGGGAGAAUGAAGUCAGAAAUUUCUCAAGCUGAAUUCUCCAGAAACAAGCCAUCGGACUUGCCAAAAGUUUGAACCAUGGACGUUGAUUUAAGCUCAUUUGACAGUGAUAUUUCCUAAAUUGAUUCUCCAAAACGUUCUUUUCCUUAAAGACUCUUUAAUAUGUCAAAUGUUUUGUAUAAUCUCACUUGUGUUUAUUGAGAAGCAAGAGAUCGAAGUGAUCAACUGAAGAUAACAAGACAAGGAGCAAACUUCUAAGUUUGUUUAAAACUAAUAACUUUUCUUUGGAUGCAAAUUUAUAAGAUUAUCUCAACAUCACAUAUUCCUCCAUUCAAUGAAUAUGGAAAAUUCAAACGGCGAGCAACUGUCCGAAAUAAACAAUUUUUAUGUGGAUGUAGGACAGUUAUUGAAGUUCUUUGAAAGAAAAAGAAGCCGUUCAAAAUAUGAGCAACAACACCUCAUCCAAAUCUCCAACAAAGCAUGAGUCGCAAUAAACUUAAAAUGUUCAAAGUAGGAACAAACGAAAGCACCACUCAACGUGCACAAAAAUAUUCAAUGAUAUCAAAUUACAUAUGAAUAAUAUUCACAAAUUCCUUCAAUAUGAGACGCGGUAAUGGGAACCACCUAGAGGGUCAUCAUCUUCAAAUGCCAAGAGGGUCAUUGCAUCUUCAAACGUCGAGAGGUUCAUCACCUUUAAAUGUCGAGAGUCAUUGCAUCUUCAAACGCCAAGAGGACCAUUGCAUCUUCAAACACCAAGAAGGCCAUCAUCUUCAUUUGCAGAGAGAGUCAUUGCAGUUAAACACCGAGAGGGUCAUUGCAUCCUUAAUCGCCAAGAAGGAAAUUACAUCUUUCAUUAUCGAAAGGUCCAUUGCAUCUUCAAAUGCCGAGAGAACCAUCAUAUAUGCAAAUGCCAAGAGGGUCAUUGUACAUUCAAACGCCGAGAGGGUCAUCAUUUCCAAACCACCAAGAGGGCUAUUACAUCUUCAACCGCCAAGAGGGACAUCAUCUUCCAUUUUCAAGAGGGCCAUUACAUAUUCAAACCGCCAAGAGGACCAUUACAUAUUCAAACCACCAAGAGGGUCAUUGCAUAUUCAAAUUACCGAGAGGAUCAUCAUCUCAAAUGCCGAAAGGAAUAUCAUCUUCAAAUGCCAGAAGGUCAUUGCAUUCAAGCCGCCAAGAGGGUCAUUGCAUUUUCAAACGCUGAGAGGGCCAUCAUCUUCAUAUGCCAAGAGGGUCACUGCAUCUUCAAACGUUGUGAGGGCAUCUUCAAAUGAUGAGAAGUCCAUCACUUUCAUUUACCAAGAGGGCCAUUCAAACGCCGAGAGGGCGAUCAUCUUUAUAUGCCAAGAGGGCUAUUGCAUCUUCAAAUGCCGAGAGGGACAUUGCAUUCAAGUCGCCAAAAGGGCAAUUGAAUAUCCAAAUGUCGAGAGGUCCAUCACCUUCAAACGCCGAGAGGGUCAUUACAUUAGAAAGCCGAGAGGACCAUUGCAUUUAAACGCCGAGAGGGCCAUUGCAUCUUCAACCGCCAAGAAAGCCAUUGCAUCUUCAAAUUUCGAAAGAGUCAUUGCUUCUUCCAAUGCCAAGAGAGCAAUAUCAUCUUACCAGUAAAGCUUUGACAACAUCGUCAUAUCAUUAGAUUAAUAUCAUCCUGCCAAUGGACCAUCAAUGUAGCAAUAUCAUCUUAUCAAUCGACCAUCAACAUCUUCAUCAUCAAUGUAGCAACAUCAUUUUAUCAAUGAAGUAUCAUUAUCAACAAUAUUACAUUAUCGAUAAAGUCAUUAUUAUGUCGCAUCAUAUCAAUCCAUUAUCUACUGUGUCAACACUGAUAAAGAUUGACCUCAAAAUAUUUAGAAAAAAAUGUGUCUCGAAUAGGGUAAAACAUAACACCUCUCUGGAAAAAUUCCAGUUUCAAUUAACAAGGUUUUCCCAAUCUUUGUCGAGAGCAUCCAAGAGGAUGAAUUCCCAAAUCAAACCAUAGAUGCGGAUGACAUCAAAAGGGAUGCAACACCACGUGGAAAUUUUCUUAGCGGGGAACUUGGACAUAGUCCAAAGAGGAGUAUCAAACUCUUAGGACGCGAGGUGAGGAGAAACCUCCACCAUAAUCAAACCACACCACUGUCAGGCAUGUGAAUUUCUCUUUUAGUUUAUUAGUUUCAAUUUCGCAUUCAGAAAACUUCCCACUCUCACCGAAUUUUACACCAUUAUCAAGAUUUUAAAAAAAAUUGUAAAAACUUUCAUAUUUUAAAUUGAUUUUUUAAAUUUAUAAAGUCUCAAAAAAUCAUGGUGCCGACACGUGCCACUUUUUUUUCUCCUAUUAUAUAUAGAUGGAUACUAAUAUGUUAUAUAUAUAUAUAUAUAUACUAAAAAAAUAAAAAAUAAAAUAAGAAAAAAGGGAUACUAAAAAAUAGCGUUGAAAUAAUUUUUUUUAAAAAUGUAGAAUUAUAGAAGAGAAUUUAUCAAAGAAAAAAUUAAUACAGAUAAUCACUUCAAAUAUACUUAUUACUUAACCAUUCAUCCUCCAUUAUAGUAAUUCUAAACAUUUACUUAACUUUUUCUCCUACACUUUAAUUAUAUGAAAAUAUUAUUUAUCGUUAAUGAUUAUAAAUAUUCACAUUAUUUGUGAACAUUUUUUUUAUGUUUACUUUAUUUAGAAAAAAUUCAAGAGUCUAAUUAUAAGUUUUUAUUAGAUAUAUAAGUUUUUUUUUAAUCUUAACAUAAAAACUUUUAUCAUUCAUUUAUAAUUGUUCAUUUAUUACUUAUUUUAUUAUGCAUUUUAACAAUAAUAUAUUGUUUUUAUGUUAAUUUUAUAUCACUAAAAAUUAUUUUACCGAACUAAAAUCAUGUAUCACCCAUUUCGUUCCAAAGAAUCAAUUACUUUUUUAAGUAUUCAAAUUAUAGAUAGCUUAUCUAUUACAAAUAAUUUUUCAUAUUUCUAAGACUGUUUUUAAAUUUAUUACUAUUUUAUUUCUUUUGAUAUUUUAAUUUUUUUUUUAAAAGACUAAAAAUCUCACUUUAAAUUUUUAACAAAAUAUCAAAGUUAAUCAUAUUUAAUAUUGAGAAUUCAUUCAAAUGGAUAAUAAAGUCAUGAAUUCUUAAUUAUAUAUUUUAACUAACAUAAAAGAAUAGGUACUAUUCAACAAAAAGAAAGUAUAGGUAUUUGACCGUAUUGCUAAUUUAAGGUAUUUAUUUUUUAAUAAAAUUAAUUCAUGAAUUGAGUUGAAAUUACAAAGCUAAAUAAUAAAAUUUAUUAGCUAAUCUAUUUGGAUUUAAGAAUUAAAUAAAAAUGAAAACUUUAUACACUGCGCGUAGCACAGCUACUUUUAUUAGUUGUCUAAAUAAGAGAAUUUUCAGUUUCAAUAAUUUUUAAAUUUGAUGAUGAAUGCAACAAAACAUAUAAAGUUUCUUUAUAUAUGUCAUUUCAUAAAAUUAAUGCAUAAAUGAACUUUUUUUAUUUUAUUUCGCACUUGCGAGUUAUCUUAAAAAUAUAUAUUUCAUCAACUAGACAAAUUGAAGGAGUAAUUCAUAUUCUUUAGUUACAUUAAUCAAUCAAAAUAAAUUAAUUUAUAUUAAUUAAUCAAAAAACUUAACUUCAAAAAAUCAUUAAAUAAAAAAAGAAAGUUGUAAACUUAUUUAGUUUCUCGAUGUACAUAAAACUUAAUAUGGAGACAUGUAAAUAAGAAUAAAGGGAGUAUAAACGUAACAAAAAAUAAUUUUUUUAAAGAGUAUUUUAAAACCACAUUAUAGAAAAAUGUAACAAGUAUUAUUUUUAUACAAUACAGUAUACAUUAUAUGGGGAGUUUCCAUUUGGUCAAAAAAUGAUUUUGGGCCCAAGUGCUUCUUCUUCCUAACAAUAAUAAAACCUAAAACCCUACGUUUAUUAGUAAAAACCAGUGCUUCAUAUUGCCGCCUCUUUGCUCCUCCGCAGCAACAACUCUUGUGAUCUCUUUCUCUACCGAAUCAAAUCGUAAGUGUCUCUUUGCCUGCAUUUCUUUACUCACAUACCAUUGUUUAUUGUAGUUUCUGUUUAGAUUUGUCAUCUAAAAAUGUGACUUUUUUCACAUUCUUAGAAGCUUUCCUGUGCUGUGAUGUCUUUUAAUCUCUUUUUUUUCCCGACCCAUGUUGUAAAAAGUAGUUUUUCUUACAAUCUCAUUGUUGAUAUUAGCUAUUAGCUAUGCUUCUUGAUAGUUGUAUUUAUUGUAAAAUUUAUGCUUGUGAUGAAUGGAAGUAUUAAUUUGGAGAGUAAAAAUGUUAUCUUUUUUGACGAUCUUUGAGUCUUUGCUCUGAUGUGAUGGCUUUAAAACCUUUUUUUUUCCGACCCAUGAUGGAGAUACUAGUAUUACAUACUUAUUGUUGAUAUUAGCAAGUGUGCUUACCCUUUCACGUUUUAGGGUUCUUGGUUGUUGUAUUUAUGGUAAAAUUUAUGCUAGUGAUGAUUAGUUUUAACAGGGGUGUGAAUGGAAGUAGGAAUUUGGAGGGUAAAAAUGUGAUUUUUUUGACAGCUACAGGUUUUGCUGUGAAUUGUGAACUGAUGGAUUUUAAUCUCUUUUUUUUUCCGACCCAUGAUAGAGCAAGUAGUUUUUAUACUAUCUGAUUGUGGAGAUUAGUGAGGGUUCUAAUCCUUUUAUGUUUUAGGGUUCUUAGUAGUUGUAUUUAUGGUAAAUCUUUGUGAGUGAUAAUUAGUUUUAAUGGGGGUGUAAUUGGAAGUAGGAAUUUGGAAAGUAAAAGAGGCAAUAAAAUUAAGCAAAUAGUUUAUGAUGUUCUGUGUAAGUGGGUUGAUGUGUGUGAUCUUGUUCUAUUACAGAGAACACACUUGUUACACUUUUUGAUAAUGCGUGGUGGUGAGAAUUUGUUUCUUGUUCUUUUAUAAAGGAAACUUAUUGAUGUAGGUCUGUAUAUUGGUAACUAUUGUGUUGCCUUCUGUUGAGUCCUAUCCGUGGCUAUUUUGUUUUCAUGAUUCUGAAGUUUGCUGGUCUGGUUUCUAAUCUAUAGUCACUAAUACAUGUGAAUUUGUGCUGUCAAACCUAGUGUCUUUAAGAGGGCAUUGACUAUAUCUUGCUAUCAUUUGAUUCUUUUUGUUUGUCUUUUUGGAGCUAUUUUUGUGGUUACUUUUUUCGAUGGUGCAUCUGAUUAUUGCAUAAACUGGGUACAGUUAGAUAAGAAAAGAUGGUCAGAGUUAGCGUGCUGAAUGAUGCUCUCAAGAGCAUGUACAAUGCUGAAAAGAGGGGAAAGCGUCAGGUCAUGAUUAGACCUUCAUCAAAAGUCAUCAUCAAGUUCCUCAUUGUUAUGCAGAAGCAUGGUAUGUUAAUUUCUUAACUGUAUGCACUGCAGCAUCACCCUAUCAUUUUCUUAGUGUUAUCUAUGUGUAGGUUACAUCGGAGAAUUUG
This 8312-nucleotide long non-coding RNA is filed under the name Solanum lycopersicum (tomato). RNAcentral describes it as "long non-coding RNA (SLYC_LNC000073)". The record is from RNAcentral. Lineage: Eukaryota; Viridiplantae; Streptophyta; Magnoliopsida; Solanales; Solanaceae.